GUCGAUUUGAUCGACCUCAGUGCGCAACUGGUACUUAUUUAAUCGACCCCCGAAAGGAUGAAAGGCAAAGUCGACCUCAGCUGAAUUUGAACUCAGGACCUAAAGACAGACGUAAUACUUAUUUCUUUACUACCCACAAGGGGCGAUCCUUCGGUAGAAGUACCGUAAGUGGCUUUGUUUACGUUUCUGAAGAUAACUGAAACCCUUUUCUCCCAUCUCUAACCCUAACACAAACCCUAAUCCUAGCCCCCCCCCACCAUAUAUAUAUAUAUAUAAAAAAAACACUUUCUGGAAAUGUAUCCGUUACUUAUACCGAAGUUACGCCACUAUUUAAUUUCAUUAACCUUUUUUUUUUGCUGCCCUGGGACUUUAUUUUAUCGAUUCCGAAAGAACGAAUGAAUGCCUCGGCGGGGUUCGAACUUGGAAUGGUAAAGAACCGUUAGAAAUGCCGCUUCGCAUUCUACCAGCUCGCAGUCUUACGCGUGUGGUAUAAUAUCUAAUACUGGUUUAUUUUUAUGAAACGGGUGAGUUGACAAAGAUUUGUUGUAAGGCUGUAAAAAGGUGUAUCAAUGGCAUAAUAUAUUUCCUCAUUGUAGCUUUUACGAAUGGGAUAAAAUGUGUUUCGAAAUUCAUGUUUGUCUAUUACUAAUGAAAACUUUUUAUAUACGUUCUUGACCGCCUUGCUUGCAUGCAAGGGAUGUCAUCUUUUUUUCAUAAUUACUGACCUAUUUAUUUUUUGACCUCUUACCAACUUGACCCAAAUUAGCAUCCAAUUUUUUAAGCAAUUUCUGAAGAAGGUAGGUAUUCCUUCGAUAUCACUCGACAAAAUCAAACUUGGACUCCAGUAUUUUCCGAAAUUCCAUACCCCACUCUUCCUAACCCCCCCCCCCCGAAAAAACCAUUUUUUUGUAUAUUUGGGAUCUACAUGAUAUAACACAUAUUCGUAGGGAAUUUCAUUAAAAAAUAUCCAUUUUACUGAAAGUUAUGAUCAUCUAAAGUAGGGGAGUCGAUAAAAAAAUAUUCGAUGUAAAUUGGAUUGAUAAAUUUAUUAUUUAUUUAUGGUUGACUGUUAUAUACAAGAUCAAAUAUAUAAGUUGCAUUUGUUUCUUUACAGUUAAAGAAGACAAGAUUGGUAUAUUCGGUAUUACUUAUUCGGUAAAUUUGGACAAGUAUACCUGCAUUCGGUUCACCAAAAGAAAAAAAAACCCGGAUUUUUCACCUGGAAAAGUAUCUUUCCCGCCAAAACUCUAAUAGGGGAACUAAUGCGUUUCAUUUUUGCGUGGGGAGAGAGAGACAAUCAAUGUUUUCACUCUACAAAGAAGCGAUUUAAAAGAAAUAUAUGCUUAUAGAAAACUAUUGUAUCUUUUUAAAAUAUCCUUAAUUUACAUAUUGUAUGUUGUGUGCGUG
Molecule: long non-coding RNA, 1407 nt
Filed under: Octopus vulgaris (common octopus)
Lineage: Eukaryota; Metazoa; Mollusca; Cephalopoda; Octopoda; Octopodidae
Source: RNAcentral